RNAcentral lists this ribosomal RNA (357 nucleotides) under uncultured bacterium. RNAcentral describes it as "bacterial SSU rRNA". It matches the Rfam family "Bacterial small subunit ribosomal RNA", at positions 331 to 686 of the family's 1533-position model. The record is from RNAcentral.
CCAGACUCCUACGGGAGGCAGCAGUGAGGAAUAUUGGUCAAUGGCCGAGAGGCUGAACCAGCCAAGUCGCGUGAGGGAUGACGGCCCUACGGGUUGUAAACCUCUUUUGCCGGGGAGCAAAGAGCGGGACGCGUCCCGCCUCGAGAGUACCCGGAGAAAAAGCAUCGGCUAACUCCGUGCCAGCAGCCGCGGUAAUACGGAGGAUGCGAGCGUUAUCCGGAUUUAUUGGGUUUAAAGGGUGCGCAGGCGGGGGCGCAAGUCAGGGGUAAAAUUUGGGGGCCCACCCCCGGCAAGCCGUUGAAACUGGCUUGCUAGAGUGGGCGAGAAGUAUGCGGAAUGCGUGGUGUAGCGGUGAAA